GUCUACGGCCACGCCACCCUGAACGAGCCCGAUCCCGUCUGAUCUCGGGAGCUAAGCAGGGUCGGGCCUGGUCAGUACUUGGAUGGGGGACCACCAAGGCAGAUCGGGUGCUGUAGGCG
Molecule: ribosomal RNA, 119 nt
Filed under: Pteropus alecto (black flying fox)
Lineage: Eukaryota; Metazoa; Chordata; Mammalia; Chiroptera; Pteropodidae
Source: RNAcentral